CCUACGGGAGGCAGCAGUGGGGAAUAUUGCGCAAUGGGCGAAAGCCUGACGCAGCGACGCCGCGUGAGGGAUGAAGGUCUUCGGAUCGUAAACCUCCGUCAGCAGGGAAGAACGGUCACUGUGCUAAUCAGCAGUGAAUUGACGGUACCUGCAAAGGAAGCACCGGCUAACUCCGUGCCAGCAGCUGCGGUAAUACGGAGGGUGCGAGCGUUGAUCGGAAUUAUUGGGCGUAAAGCGCUCGUAGGCGGUAUGUCAAGUGAAGGGUGAAAUCCCCGGGCUCAACGUGGGAACUGCGUUUGAAACUGGCAAACUGGAGUGUGUGAGAGGAUAGUGGAAGUCGAGGUGUAGGAGUGAAAUCCGUAGAUAUCUGGAGGAACAUCAGUGGCGAAGGCGACUAUCUGGCACAUAACUGACGCUGAGGAGCGAAAGCGUGGGUAGCAAACAGGAUUAGAUACCCCGGUAGUC
RNAcentral lists this ribosomal RNA (465 nucleotides) under uncultured bacterium. RNAcentral's name for it is "partial 16S ribosomal RNA". It matches the Rfam family "Bacterial small subunit ribosomal RNA", at positions 338 to 795 of the family's 1533-position model. The record is from RNAcentral.